GAAGCUCAGUGGUAGAGCACUUGCCUAGCAUGUAUGAGGCCCUGAGUUCAAUCCUCAGC
This 59-nucleotide transfer RNA is filed under the name Ictidomys tridecemlineatus (thirteen-lined ground squirrel). RNAcentral describes it as "Spermophilus tridecemlineatus (thirteen-lined ground squirrel) tRNA". It matches the Rfam family "tRNA", at positions 7 to 64 of the family's 71-position model. Rfam says of the family: Transfer RNA (tRNA) molecules are approximately 80 nucleotides in length. Lineage: Eukaryota; Metazoa; Chordata; Mammalia; Rodentia; Sciuridae. The record is from Rfam by way of RNAcentral.